Long non-coding RNA from Olea europaea var. sylvestris, 457 nucleotides. RefSeq lists it as uncharacterized. The transcript is spliced from 2 exons. Lineage: Eukaryota; Viridiplantae; Streptophyta; Magnoliopsida; Lamiales; Oleaceae. The record is from RefSeq and is a predicted model, not a curated record.
GGUGCUUUGCCAUAAAGUGAUGCCUAUGGGAUCAUUGCAUAUACAGAAUCAAAGCCAAGAUAGUUAUGUGAACAUUUGAUAUUGGCUUUAUUCCUUCAGCUUGACACGCAAAAUAAAACUUUAUCCUAUGAUACUUUGGGCCAGUUCUACAAAAAGAAAGCUGAAGGAUGUGAUAGGUGUAAAGGUUCCUUGAUCUUAGCCCUAAAAUCAUGGUCACACAACCAGUCCACAGGAGCAAAUCAUGGACACGAUUUAUCUCAGCUCUAAAAUCAUGGAUAUACAUAAGUCAAGGACACGACUACUGUAAAUUUGCUAUUAUACCUUGUAUAUUGAUUCACAAUUAAUAGGCUUCCUAGUAUAGCCUUUUUGGUUGAUGUAUAUAUACAUUGCAGCCCUCACUGUAAUCUGUGUGUAGAAGCCAAAUAAUUUUAAUACAUGAAAUAUAUUUUUACACCAC